AUACAUAAAAAACUACUGUACACUCUUCAUUUCCAACCACCACCUCUUCCUAUCUUCUCCCGCCCCUCUCCUUCCACACAUCAACUACCAGCAACAAAAUUAACGAAUUCCCACUUCACAGGUUUGGAUUUGUAAACGUUGAGGGUUCCGAUUUGUAAACAUAGGCUUCUAUUGGAAACUAGGGUUCCGAUUUGAAAAGGAUUUUGCUAUCAGCAAGUAUCAACCGAUUCAUCCUUCACAUCUCCAUCCCUCUGGUAUAUAUUCUGUAAUGACAUUUUUGAAUUUCAAUUACUACAUUUUAAAUGUCACUAUGAAGGUGAUACUGAUAUGGGUGCGGCUACUGUUUGCAUGUGACCCAUGAACUGGCUUUUGAAUUGGUCAAUUGGUUUCUUUCGUUCUCGUUCAUCUCUCAAUCUUUUUUUGACGUUUUUCAUAGAAAAAAACCUGCGUUUUUUGCUGAAAAACUGCAGUUUUUUGGCCAAACCGGGGUGAAAAGCGCAGAGGCGGAGGUUAUAAACAACGAGGUUGCUGCCGAUGACGGGAGACCUUCAUCUCCGCCAGAUGGUGAGGAGGAGUUCAUUGAUGAUGAUGGGACUGUGUACAAGUGGGACAAGACGCUUAGAGCCUGGGUUCCUCAGCCAAGAUGACUGAUGGUCGAGCAGCGACCCCGGCGGGACUUAUUUCAGCAUCAAUAGCACAUGCUUUUGCACUAUUUGUUGCAGUUUCGGUUGGUGCUAACAUAUCAUGGGGUCAUGUGAACCCAACUCUGUUUCUGUUAUAUAAAUGAUAACCCUGAUUCUAAAAAAAUAGGAUACCCCUGACUUUUUGAGCUA
Long non-coding RNA from Helianthus annuus (common sunflower), 833 nucleotides. RefSeq lists it as uncharacterized. The transcript is spliced from 3 exons. The record is from RefSeq and is a predicted model, not a curated record. Lineage: Eukaryota; Viridiplantae; Streptophyta; Magnoliopsida; Asterales; Asteraceae.